RNAcentral lists this ribosomal RNA (706 nucleotides) under uncultured eukaryote. RNAcentral describes it as "bacterial SSU rRNA". It matches the Rfam family "Archaeal small subunit ribosomal RNA", at positions 455 to 1157 of the family's 1478-position model. The record is from RNAcentral.
GUGCCAAGCAGCCGCGGUAAAACCAGCACCUCAAGUGGUCAGGAUGAUUAUUGGGCCUAAAGCAUCCGUAGCCGGCUCUGUAAGUUUUCGGUUAAAUCUGUACGCUCAACGUACAGGCUGCCGGGAAUACUGCAGAGCUAGGGAGUGGGAGAGGUAGACGGUACUCGGUAGGAAGUGGUAAAAUGCUUUGAUCUAUCGAUGACCACCUGUGGCGAAGGCGGUCUACCAGAACACGUCCGACGGUGAGGGAUGAAAGCUGGGGGAGCAAACCGGAUUAGAUACCCGGGUAGUCCCAGCUGUAAACUAUGCAAACUCAGUGAUGCAUUGGCUUGUGGCCAAUGCAGUGCUGCAGGGAAGCCGUUAAGUUUGCCGCCUGGGAAGUACGUACGCAAGUAUGAAACUUAAAGGAAUUGGCGGGGGAGCACCACAAGGGGUGAAGCCUGCGGUUCAAUUGGAGUCAACGCCAGAAAUCUUACCCGGAGAGACAGCAGGAUGAAGGUCAAGCUGAAGACUUUACCAGACAAGCUGAGAGGUGGUGCAUGGCCGUCGCCAGCUCGUGCCGUGAGAUGUCCUGUUAAGUCAGGUAACGAGCGAGAUCCCUGCCUCUAGUUGCCACCAUUACUCUCAGGAGUAGUGGGGCGAAUUAGCGGGACCGCCGCAGUUAAUGCGGAGGAAGGAAGGGGCCACGGCAGGUCUGUGAUGCCCA